RNAcentral lists this ribosomal RNA (487 nucleotides) under uncultured bacterium. Its description in RNAcentral is "bacterial SSU rRNA". It matches the Rfam family "Bacterial small subunit ribosomal RNA", at positions 16 to 507 of the family's 1533-position model. The record is from RNAcentral.
AUCAUGGCUCAGGAUAAACGCUGGCGGCGCACAUAAGACAUGCAAGUCGAACGAACUUAACUCAUUCUUUACGAUUGAGAGCGGUUAGUGGCGGACUGGUGAGUAACACGUAAGCAACCUGCCUAUUAGAGGGGGAAUAACAGUGAGAAAUCAUUGCUAAUACCGCAUAUGCUCACAGCAACACAUGUUGCAGUGAGGAAAGGAGCAAUCCGCUAAUAGAUGGGCUUGCGUCUGAUUAGCUAGUUGGUGGGGUAACGGCCUACCAAGGCGACGAUCAGUAGCCGGACUGAGAGGUUGAACGGCCACAUUGGGACUGAGAUACGGCCCAGACUCCUACGGGAGGCAGCAGUCGGGAAUAUUGCACAAUGGGGGAAACCCUGAUGCAGCGACGCCGCGUAAAGGAAGAAGGUCUUCGGAUUGUAAACUUUUGUCGACAGGGAAGAAUAAAAUGACAGUACCUGUGGAGGAAGCCCCGGCUAACUACGUG